AAUCAACGCUGGCGGCGUGCCUCAGACAUGCAAGUCGAACGAUUAAACUUUCCUUCGGGAAAGAUAUAAAGUGGCGCACGGGUGAGUAACACGUAAGUAAUCUACCUUCGAGUGGGGAAUAACGUUCGGAAACGAACGCUAAUACCGCAUAAUGCAGCGGCACCUAAUGGUGACAGUUGUUAAAGGAGCAAUUCGCUUGAAGAGGAGCUUGCGGCAGAUUAGCUAGUUGGAAGGUAAUGGCUUACCAAGGCUACGAUCUGUAACCGGUCUAAGAGGACGGUCGGUCACACUGACACUGAAUAACGGGUCAGACUCCUACGGGAGGCAGCA
RNAcentral lists this ribosomal RNA (330 nucleotides) under uncultured bacterium. RNAcentral's name for it is "bacterial SSU rRNA". It matches the Rfam family "Bacterial small subunit ribosomal RNA", at positions 32 to 353 of the family's 1533-position model. The record is from RNAcentral.